CUUACUGACUCUACCACAUGAAUGAAUGGCUUCAUGCCGGGGGUCACGCCCACCCGAGACGAGCCCGCCACACCCCGUACAUGGUGAGAUGUGAGCGAUAGAGGAGAGGGAUGGAUUCACAAGAAAACAUAGUUCCAGACUAUCAAGCAAGCACAAGCAUCUCAUCAGCAUCAAUUCAAUUCAUCUAGGCCAAAGCCUGAAAACCUGCAGCCACUAAACCCGUGAGUUACAAAGCUCAAUCUAUCAAAUCCUGUGUGACUACUAUCAGCUCAAAUCUUCUAAAUUAGUAGCACAGUGGCCUGCAUAAAAGCUCAUUGCUUCCAAGUCCCAGCAAACCUGUGAGGAACCUGUAUCCAGAUUCACUCUUGAAAAGACUGUUAUGUUAAAGAGUGUUUCAUAAAUUCCGCAAGUAAAGUUUCUUCAGUUUCAGACGAUAUUUAAAGGUUAAUACCACCAGACCCUACAUUACCACUGCAACACCCCAGUCACCGUUACUCUCCUGGUUCACCACAGCUCUUUUGGCGUCUUACGAACAGGAUACGGGUGUGUGCCUACAGCUAUUUAAACACCAUUAUUGCAAGUGCCGUGGUCCUCCCCCUAUGCAGAACUGUGUUUUAUGAACUGUACAGAAUUGUCGCACGCUGCGAUUAAAAUUGCACCCAGAAGUGUACGGGUCUGUAUUGCUGGGAUUGUGCUUAGCCGGGGCGCAGGAAAAAGGACGGGAGGAGUUGAAGAAUUCUGUGCAGUUGCUGUUGUACCUGAAGGGGUUAAAGUCAGUGCCUUCCCCCGCGCGAAAAACUGCGACUACUCCCAGUUGAUCCUCCACAGUCACGCCUCUGGGUGCCGGCCGGAAGGAACGAAAAGUUCUCCCUGUGUUGCUGAGGGGAAGGAUUUCUUGCCAGAACUAAACCUGAAUUCCUCCUGGCGCAGCGAAAAUUCAAAAGCUCCGGCAGCUGUGCCCGCAUCGAUAUAGUACACCUCUGCUGCAAAGACUCUGCAAAAGCCAGAAGAAGAAUCCACGCAGCUGAUACCGCAGACUCUAGCGUCAGACCGCACAAGCCGCUGCAGCACGCCGUGGUCCAUCUUAAAGGGCCAGCAUACCCUAAUUGCCCAACAGCGACGAAGCACUCAAUCUUCAAGACGACAAACUCAAUCUUCAAGACAGCACACUCAAGCUUCAGGACAGCGCACUCAAGCUCCAAAUCAGCGCACUCAAAUUUUCUUAAAGGGCCAGCGUACCCAAUCAAUUUUCCAAGAUGUCAGCACCUACAGCAUCAUCACCACCACCUAACCAGCAGGAUGGUCGUGCUCCUGCAACCCCGCCAGAGGG
This is a long non-coding RNA of Hyla sarda, 1330 nucleotides long. RefSeq lists it as uncharacterized. The record is from RefSeq and is a predicted model, not a curated record. The transcript has 3 exons. Lineage: Eukaryota; Metazoa; Chordata; Amphibia; Anura; Hylidae.